Molecule: ribosomal RNA, 774 nt
Filed under: uncultured Neocallimastigales
Lineage: Eukaryota; Fungi; Neocallimastigomycota; Neocallimastigomycetes; Neocallimastigales
Description: partial large subunit ribosomal RNA
Rfam family: Eukaryotic large subunit ribosomal RNA (bases 5-693)
Source: RNAcentral
CAUAGCGACUAUCGUGGCAUAUCAAUAAGCGGAGGAAAAGAAACUAACAAGGAUUCCCUUAGUAACGGCGAGUGAAGCGGGAAGAGCUCAAAUUUGAAAUCUUCAAGGUUUUACCUUGACGAAUUGUAGUUUAAAGAAGUGUUUUCUGUUGGAGUUUUGGUAAAAGUUCUUUGGAAUAGGACAUCAUAGAGGGUGAGAAUCCCGUAUUUGACCAUUAUUUCCAGCUGUGUGAUACACUUUCAAAGAGUCGGAUUGUUUGGGAAUGCAGUCCAAAAUGGGUGGUAAAUUUCAUCUAAAGCUAAAUAUUGGCGAGAGACCGAUAGCGAACAAGUACCGUGAGGGAAAGAUGAAAAGAACUUUGAAAAGAGAGUUAAACAGUACGUGAAAUUGUCAAAAGGGAGGCGUUUGACACCAGUGUUGUUUUCUCGAAAAUCAAUUAAAAAUGAUGGGAUUUUGUGUUGUAUUGACUUUAUCAGCUUUCUGCACUUUUUUCUUAUCUUUUUUAAUGCACUUUUCGUUUAACAAGUCAACAUCAAUUUCUUUUGUUGUAAAAGAGUCAUUGGAAGGUGGCUUUUUCUUCGGAAAAAGUGUUUAUAGCCUUUGGCUUCUGCAAUCGGAGAGAUUGAGGUCUGCAGCGUAGAUCCUUCGGGGUUAGAUACAUUUGUGCUAAGCUAUAGUUCUUUAUAGACAACUUGUUGACUAUAAUCAAUCCUGUAACUUACUCGCUUAUGCUAUUUUACCUACGCUUAGGAUGUUGAUAUGCAUGACUGAUAU